RNAcentral lists this ribosomal RNA (505 nucleotides) under uncultured bacterium. RNAcentral describes it as "partial 16S ribosomal RNA". It matches the Rfam family "Bacterial small subunit ribosomal RNA", at positions 28 to 507 of the family's 1533-position model. The record is from RNAcentral.
GACGAACGCUGGCGGCGUGCCUAAUACAUGCAAGUAGAACGCACAGUUUAUACCGUAGCUUGCUACACCAUAGACUGUGAGUUGCGAACGGGUGAGUAACGCGUAGGUAACCUGCCUGGUAGCGGGGGAUAACUAUUGGAAACGAUAGCUAAUACCGCAUAAUAUUGAUUAUUGCAUGAUAAUUAAUUGAAAGGUGCAAUUGCACCACUACCAGAUGGACCUGCGUUGUAUUAGCUAGUAGGUGAGGUAACGGCUCACCUAGGCGACGAUACAUAGCCGACCUGAGAGGGUGAUCGGCCACACUGGGACUGAGACACGGCCCAGACUCCUACGGGAGGCAGCAGUAGGGAAUCUUCGGCAAUGGACGAAAGUCUGACCGAGCAACGCCGCGUGAGUGAAGAAGGUUUUCGGAUCGUAAAGCUCUGUUGUAAGAGAAGAACGGGUGCGAGAGUGGAAAGUUCACAAUGUGACGGUAUCUUACCAGAAAGGGACGGCUAACUACGUG